UUAAAUUGAAGAGUUUGAUCAUGGCUCAGAUUGAACGCUGGCGGCAGGCCUAACACAUGCAAGUCGAACGGUAACAGGAAGCAGCUUGCUGUUUCGCUGACGAGUGGCGGACGGGUGAGUAAUGUCUGGGAAACUGCCUGAUGGAGGGGGAUAACUACUGGAAACGGUAGCUAAUACCGCAUAACGUCGCAAGACCAAAGAGGGGGACCUUCGGGCCUCUUGCCAUCGGAUGUGCCCAGAUGGGAUUAGCUUGUUGGUGGGGUAACGGCUCACCAAGGCGACGAUCCCUAGCUGGUCUGAGAGGAUGACCAGCCACACUGGAACUGAGACACGGUCCAGACUCCUACGGGAGGCAGCAGUGGGGAAUAUUGCACAAUGGGCGCAAGCCUGAUGCAGCCAUGCCGCGUGUAUGAAGAAGGCCUUCGGGUUGUAAAGUACUUUCAGCGGGGAGGAAGGGAGUAAAGUUAAUACCUUUGCUCAUUGACGUUACCCGCAGAAGAAGCACCGGCUAACUCCGUGCCAGCAGCCGCGGUAAUACGGAGGGUGCAAGCGUUAAUCGGAAUUACUGGGCGUAAAGCGCACGCAGGCGGUUUGUUAAGUCAGAUGUGAAAUCCCCGGGCUCAACCUGGGAACUGCAUCUGAUACUGGCAAGCUUGAGUCUCGUAGAGGGGGGUAGAAUUCCAGGUGUAGCGGUGAAAUGCGUAGAGAUCUGGAGGAAUACCGGUGGCGAAGGCGGCCCCCUGGACGAAGACUGACGCUCAGGUGCGAAAGCGUGGGGAGCAAACAGGAUUAGAUACCCUGGUAGUCCACGCCGUAAACGAUGUCGACUUGGAGGUUGUGCCCUUGAGGUGUGGCUUCCGGAGCUAACGCGUUAAGUCGACCGCCUGGGGAGUACGGCCGCAAGGUUAAAACUCAAAUGAAUUGACGGGGGCCCGCACAAGCGGUGGAGCAUGUGGUUUAAUUCGAUGCAACGCGAAGAACCUUACCUGGUCUUGACAUCCACGGAAGUUUUCAGAGAUGAGAAUGUGCCUUCGGGAACCGUGAGACAGGUGCUGCAUGGCUGUCGUCAGCUCGUGUUGUGAAAUGUUGGGUUAAGUCCCGCAACGAGCGCAACCCUUAUCCUUUGUUGCCAGCGGUCCGGCCGGGAACUCAAAGGAGACUGCCAGUGAUAAACUGGAGGAAGGUGGGGAUGACGUCAAGUCAUCAUGGCCCUUACGACCAGGGCUACACACGUGCUACAAUGGCGCAUACAAAGAGAAGCGACCUCGCGAGAGCAAGCGGACCUCAUAAAGUGCGUCGUAGUCCGGAUUGGAGUCUGCAACUCGACUCCAUGAAGUCGGAAUCGCUAGUAAUCGUGGAUCAGAAUGCCACGGUGAAUACGUUCCCGGGCCUUGUACACACCGCCCGUCACACCAUGGGAGUGGGUUGCAAAAGAAGUAGGUAGCUUAACCUUCGGGAGGGCGCUUACCACUUUGUGAUUCAUGACUGGGGUGAAGUCGUAACAAGGUAACCGUAGGGGAACCUGCGGUUGGAUCACCUCCUUACCUUAAAGAAGC
RNAcentral lists this ribosomal RNA (1556 nucleotides) under Shigella flexneri 1a. RNAcentral's name for it is "bacterial SSU rRNA". It matches the Rfam family "Bacterial small subunit ribosomal RNA". Lineage: Bacteria; Pseudomonadati; Pseudomonadota; Gammaproteobacteria; Enterobacterales; Enterobacteriaceae. The record is from RNAcentral.